AAUAAGUUCAUUUUUCAGUUUUUUGAUACCAUGUAGACUCUUCGUCUUAUUUGAAAUUUUUUUGCGAUUAAUAUUUCUAUUGUUACUAGAUGAUAAAACAUGAAUAGUACUUUAUGUGUGACUAAUUUUUUAAAAUUUUUGUACAAAUUUUUCAAAUAGAUGAAUGGUCAAACGUUGGACACCAAAAUUGAAAAAUAAAGUUAUU
RNAcentral lists this microRNA precursor (205 nucleotides) under Oryza brachyantha (malo sina). RNAcentral describes it as "MIR812 microRNA precursor family". It matches the Rfam family "MIR812 microRNA precursor family". The record is from Rfam by way of RNAcentral. Lineage: Eukaryota; Viridiplantae; Streptophyta; Magnoliopsida; Poales; Poaceae.